CAGCCGUAAACUAUGCGCGUUAGGUGUAUCGGUGACCACGAGUCACCGAGGUGCCGAAGGGAAACCGUGAAACGUGCCGCCUGGGAAGUACGGCCGCAAGGCUGAAACUUAAAGGAAUUGGCGGGGGAGCACAACAACGGGUGGAGCCUGCGGUUUAAUUGGACUCAACGCCGGACAACUCACCGGGGGACGACAGCAAUAUGUAGGCCAGGCUGAAGACCUUGCCUGAAUCGCUGAGAGGAGGUGCAUGGCGUAGACGUCU
RNAcentral lists this ribosomal RNA (262 nucleotides) under uncultured archaeon. RNAcentral describes it as "partial 16S ribosomal RNA". It matches the Rfam family "Archaeal small subunit ribosomal RNA", at positions 748 to 1009 of the family's 1478-position model. The record is from RNAcentral.